GAGUUUGAUCAUGGCUCAGAUUGAACGCUGGCGGCAUGCCUUACACAUGCAAGUCGAACGGCAGCACGGGAGCUUGCUCCUGGGUGGCGAGUGGCGAACGGGUGAGUAAUGCAUCGGAACGUAUCCUGGAGUGGGGGAUAACGUAGCGAAAGUUACGCUAAUACCGCAUAUUCUGUGAGCAGGAAAGCGGGGGACCUUCGGGCCUCGCGCUCUUGGAGCGGCCGAUGUCGGAUUAGCUAGUUGGUGAGGUAAAGGCUCACCAAGGCGACGAUCCGUAGCAGGUCUGAGAGGAUGAUCUGCCACACUGGAACUGAGACACGGGUCCAGACUCCUACGGGAGGCAGCAGUGGGGAAUUUUGGACAAUGGGGGCAACCCUGAUCCAGCCAUGCCGCGUGAGUGAAGAAGGCCU
Molecule: ribosomal RNA, 410 nt
Filed under: bacterium enrichment culture clone ALO1_GLFRUDD03GS6BX
Lineage: Bacteria
Description: bacterial SSU rRNA
Rfam family: Bacterial small subunit ribosomal RNA
Source: RNAcentral